Molecule: ribosomal RNA, 438 nt
Filed under: uncultured bacterium
Lineage: Bacteria
Description: bacterial SSU rRNA
Rfam family: Bacterial small subunit ribosomal RNA
Source: RNAcentral
ACUCCUACGGGAGGCAGCAGUGGGGAAUCUUGGACAAUGGGCGCAAGCCUGAUCCAGCCAUGCCGCGUGAGCGAUGAAGGCCUUAGGGUUGUAAAGCUCUUUCGCUGGGGAAGAUAAUGACUGUACCCAGUAAAGAAGUCCCGGCUAACUCCGUGCCAGCAGCCGCGGUAAUACGGAGGGACUAGCGUUGUUCGGAAUUACUGGGCGUAAAGCGCGCGUAGCGGAUCAGCAAGUUAGGGUGAAUCCGGGCUCACCCGCACAGCCUCAAUACUGUUGGUCUAGAGUUCGAGAGAGGUGAGUGGAAUUCCGAGUGUAGAGGUGAAAUUCGUAGAUAUUCGGAGGAACACCAGUGGCGAAGGCGGCUCACUGGCUCGAUACUGACGCUGAGGUGCGAAAGUGUGGGGAGCAAACAGGAUUAGAUACCCUGGUAGGCUCUGC